CAGAUUGAACGCUGGCGGCAGGCCUAACACAUGCAAGUCGAGCGGAAACGACACUAACAAUCCUUCGGGUGCGUUAAUGGGCGUCGAGCGGCGGACGGGUGAGUAAUGCCUAGGAAAUUGCCUUGAUGUGGGGGAUAACCAUUGGAAACGAUGGCUAAUACCGCAUAAUGCCUACGGGCCAAAGAGGGGGACCUUCGGGCCUCUCGCGUCAAGAUAUGCCUAGGUGGGAUUAGCUAGUUGGUGAGGUAAUGGCUCACCAAGGCGACGAUCCCUAGCUGGUCUGAGAGGAUGAUCAGCCACACUGGAACUGAGACACGGUCCAGACUCCUACGGGAGGCAGCAGUGGGGAAUAUUGCACAAUGGGCGAAAGCCUGAUGCAGCCAUGCCGCGUGUAUGAAGAAGGCCUUCGGGUUGUAAAGUACUUUCAGUUGUGAGGAAGGGGGUAGUGUUAAUAGCGCUAUCUCUUGACGUUAGCAACAGAAGAAGCACCGGCUAACUCCGUGCCAGCAGCCGCGGUAAUACGGAGGGUGCGAGCGUUAAUCGGAAUUACUGGGCGUAAAGCGCAUGCAGGUGGUUCAUUAAGUCAGAUGUGAAAGCCCGGGGCUCAACCUCGGAACUGCAUUUGAAACUGGUGAACUAGAGUACUGUAGAGGGGGGUAGAAUUUCAGGUGUAGCGGUGAAAUGCGUAGAGAUCUGAAGGAAUACCAGUGGCGAAGGCGGCCCCCUGGACAGAUACUGACACUCAGAUGCGAAAGCGUGGGGAGCAAACAGGAUUAGAUACCCUGGUAGUCCACGCCGUAAACGAUGUCUACUUGGAGGUUGUGGCCUUGAGCCGUGGCUUUCGGAGCUAACGCGUUAAGUAGACCGCCUGGGGAGUACGGUCGCAAGAUUAAAACUCAAAUGAAUUGACGGGGGCCCGCACAAGCGGUGGAGCAUGUGGUUUAAUUCGAUGCAACGCGAAGAACCUUACCUACUCUUGACAUCCAGAGAAGCCAGCGGAGACGCAGGUGUGCCUUCGGGAGCUCUGAGACAGGUGCUGCAUGGCUGUCGUCAGCUCGUGUUGUGAAAUGUUGGGUUAAGUCCCGCAACGAGCGCAACCCUUAUCCUUGUUUGCCAGCGAGUAAUGUCGGGAACUCCAGGGAGACUGCCGGUGAUAAACCGGAGGAAGGUGGGGACGACGUCNAGUCAUCAUGGCCCUUACGAGUAGGGCUACACACGUGCUACAAUGGCGCAUACAGAGGGCAGCAAGCUAGCGAUAGUGAGCGAAUCCCAAAAGUGCGUCGUAGUC
Molecule: ribosomal RNA, 1288 nt
Filed under: Vibrio sp. S2291
Lineage: Bacteria; Pseudomonadati; Pseudomonadota; Gammaproteobacteria; Vibrionales; Vibrionaceae
Description: bacterial SSU rRNA
Rfam family: Bacterial small subunit ribosomal RNA
Source: RNAcentral